ACAGAGGGUGCAAGCGUUGUUCGGAAUUAUUGGGCGUAAAGCGCGUGUAGGCGGUUUGGUAAGUCGGAUGUGAAAGCCCUCGGCUCAACCGAGGAAGUGCGUUCGAAACUGCUGAACUUGAGUACCUGAGGGGGUGGCGGAAUUCCCCAAGCAGAGGUGAAAUUCGUAGAUAUCGGGAGGAACACCAGUGGCGAAGGCGGCCACCUGGAAGGUAACUGACGCUGAGACGCGAAAGCGUGGGUAGCAAACAGGA
RNAcentral lists this ribosomal RNA (253 nucleotides) under uncultured prokaryote. Its description in RNAcentral is "partial 16S ribosomal RNA". It matches the Rfam family "Bacterial small subunit ribosomal RNA", at positions 525 to 777 of the family's 1533-position model. The record is from RNAcentral.